Cyprinus carpio (common carp) is the source of this 1716-nucleotide long non-coding RNA. RefSeq lists it as uncharacterized. The record is from RefSeq and is a predicted model, not a curated record. Lineage: Eukaryota; Metazoa; Chordata; Actinopteri; Cypriniformes; Cyprinidae.
CAUUAUGGAAACAUAAUUAGUCAUAUUGAUGUAGAUAUGUCAUAUCGUGCUUAGUAAUUGUGUACUGGUUUGUCGUAUUGGAUCAUCGACUCAUGAACUGUCUGUGCUGGAGAGUCUCAGGUUUGCUCUGAUCUCCAUGAAGCUCUUUGGGUUUUCGUCUGAUGAAUAGAUGACCUGGUCAUAGUUACCAUGGAAAUUGUAACCAUGAGACAUUUGUGAUCUGUUGCUGAGACACAGAGGGCAGCUCAGUGGAUCCAGUUUGCAUGACUCCAGGGAAAUGUCGGAUUAAACGGAAGGAGAACUGAGGUUGCAGUCAGGUCAUAUCCUGGAAGGAGCUUGUUUUCUGUCAUGAGAAAAGAAAGUCAUGCACCCUUGUGUGGAACGACAUGAGGUCAGCUUGCACUGCCAGACGGCUGUGGAACGGGCCUCUCAACAACAAAUGAAACAAAAUGAAACAGACAAAUUGCUGUGAGCCUGAACUGCAAAAAGAUGAAGCUGUAUUGUGUUUCCGGAGUGCAUUGACAGGCUUUAUUGCAGUGAAGUUUUUUGCGAUUGGCAUCAUCUCACAUGUGUGAGCGCCAGUGCUCUCCUCCUCUUAAUGAGAGUGGAUGUUGAUGGCCGUUAUCAAGUCCUUCCGUUCGCCUCCCCACGGCGUGCUCUUCACAGGGGACCGCAGCGUUCAACCCCUCAAGUAUCUAUCUGCUCUGCGUCACCGCCAAAUCACCAUGGCGAUAGUGGCGCUCAGGGCCCUGAAUGAGGCACCGGCUCUGUUUGAGACGUCUGCAGAGCCACAAAGACAGGAUCAUUUGUACAGCGAAGAGGCCGUGGAACAAUACAGGGAAAUUAGACAUAAAAAAACCGCCUUCAGUUUAAAAUUCUGAUGCAUUCUUCUAAAUAACGAGAGUGCUGUUUUUGAUGCUGAUGAACAGAGGCUUUAUCAAACCAUAUAGUGCUCUGAUGGUGAAGGACGUCUAAAUCUGGUGAAGUCUUCAAUUAAGAGACGUCUCUCUCAUCCUGCUUAUGUGGGACUGGAAAUGGAAUAUUUUGUCUUUUUCAAUCUUUUUGCCAUGGAAACACUUCAGCAGCUAUUGAUUUUGAGAUGUUUUUCCAUCUGUUGAGAGCAUUCAUAUACUGUAUAUAUAAAAAAAAGCAUUUUCCAGGAAUAUGCUACAUUUUGAUGCUGCAUUUUUAAUCAUUAAACACCAAAUGCCAUGUUUUUAUUUGAUUUUAUUUGUUUGUGUGUGUAGUGAGAACCAUUAGAUAUGUUAGAUAAAUUAACCUAGCAUGAAAAGCAUUUUAGACAAAUAUAUAUAAUUAAUCUUUUAAUGGAUAUUUUACAAUUCUUUUAAUGCAUUCUUUUAAUACGAUUUUAAUACAUAUUCUCCUAAAAUUUGGUAGGAGUGAUAAAAAUAGACACAAAUUGUUGACAUACAAUAAUGGAGUUAUAAAAUGUGUAUUGCAGCUCAGAUGUUUUUUAAGGUCCAUCUUAAGUUCUUUUCAUCGCAGACUUUUCUGGAAAUCUAGAUCAGUGUCUCUCAGCUUCUGUUUCUGGUGGUGAGCUGUUUUAUACCCACCAAAACCUCUAGACACAGCUAAGCUUGUUUGUUUCAAAUGAAUAUAUUUGCUGUCUAGAAGAAACGGUUUCGAUAUUAAAGAUUUGGGAUUUUUCUUUCCAGCAUGUUUCACAGUCUAUAUACACUACCAUUUAAAAGUUUG